UAAGAUCCCACAUCUGUACUGUCUGUUUGAUAGCAAGCUAUCAAUGUGCAUAAUACUUAACAAUCGGAGAGAGGGUAGGAAAAAAUGAUCUGCCCUCCGCAUGUUUUGAGAACACACACUCACACUGCUGCUGAUCUGCUUCUUCCUUGGUUUAUAUGAACAUGCAGGGAGAUGAUUAGCCUAGGUGGACAUUGACAUCAAACUGAGGUCCUGCCAAGGAUCAUGCAACAGGACCUUUGCUUUCCUCAUUGACCAUGACAGCUAACGGUCACUACAGCACCUGAUGACCAAAUUCAAUAACACUACCGAGCAUCAGAAGAAGAACUCCCCCGUUAAAGACAUCCUGAAGAUCAAACUACAACCAGUGGAUGUCGAUCCUCCGUCGUUGUUCAGCUACAAAACCAUCUCCAUCGUCCAGAAGGAACUCCUGACUCAGUUUGAGGACCUAGAGCAGAACCAAGUGGUUGUAGAAAAAUGGAUGUCUGGGUUCCGUAGGGGAGACAGCCUUUCAAGAAUGUUAAUAAACCAAGAGAGAACUCUCUUGCUGGAUAACCAAAA
Molecule: long non-coding RNA, 558 nt
Organism: Coregonus clupeaformis (lake whitefish)
Lineage: Eukaryota; Metazoa; Chordata; Actinopteri; Salmoniformes; Salmonidae
Exons: 2
Source: RefSeq, a predicted model, not a curated record